Molecule: transfer RNA, 76 nt
Filed under: Flavobacteriales bacterium
Lineage: Bacteria; Pseudomonadati; Bacteroidota; Flavobacteriia; Flavobacteriales
Description: tRNA-Gly
Rfam family: tRNA
About the family: Transfer RNA (tRNA) molecules are approximately 80 nucleotides in length. Their secondary structure includes four short double-helical elements and three loops (D, anti-codon, and T loops). Further hydrogen bonds mediate the characteristic L-shaped molecular structure. tRNAs have two regions of fundamental functional importance: the anti-codon, which is responsible for specific mRNA codon recognition, and the 3' end, to which the tRNAs corresponding amino acid is attached (by aminoacyl-tRNA synthetases). tRNAs cope with the degeneracy of the genetic code in two manners: having more than one tRNA (with a specific anti-codon) for a particular amino acid; and 'wobble' base-pairing, i.e. permitting non-standard base-pairing at the 3rd anti-codon position.
Source: RNAcentral
GCGGGAAUAGCUCAGUUGGUAGAGCGUCUGCUUCCCAAGCAGAAGGCCGCGGGUUCGAGUCCCGUUUCCCGCUCCA